Molecule: ribosomal RNA, 397 nt
Filed under: uncultured bacterium
Lineage: Bacteria
Description: bacterial SSU rRNA
Rfam family: Bacterial small subunit ribosomal RNA
Source: RNAcentral
AAACUGCCAUUGAUACUGUUGUUCUUGAGUCAUUGUGAAGUGGUUAGAAUGUGUAGUGUAGCGGUGAAAUGCAUAGAUAUUACACAGAACACCAAUUGCGAAGGCAUAUCACUAACAAUGUACUGACGCUGAUGAACGAAAGCGUAGGUAGCCAACAGGAUUAGAUACCCUGGUAGUCUACGCCGUAAACGAUGGUUACUAGCUGUUCGUCACGCCUUUGGCGAGAUGAGUGGUUAAGCGAAAGUGAUAAGUAACCCACCUGGGGAGUACGUUUGCAAGAAUGAAACUCAAAGGAAUUGACGGGGGCCCGCACAAGCGGUGGAGCAUGUGGUUUAAUUCGAUGAUACGCGAGGAACCUUACCAAGGCUUAAAUGCAUAUUGACAUUCCGGGAAACCG